AGAAUCAACGCUGGCGGCGUGCCUAACACAUGCAAGUCGAACGCGAAAGCCCCGCAAGGGGUUAGUAGAGUGGCAAACGGGUGAGUAACACGUGGGUGACCUGCCUUCGAGUGGGGGAUAACGUCCCGAAAGGGACGCUAAUACCGCAUGAUAUCCCGCCUUUGGAAAGGUGGAGAUCAAAGCGUGGGGAUCGCAAGACCUGGCGCUUGAAGGAGGGGCCCGCGCCUGAUUAGCUAGUUGGUAGGGUAACGGCCUACCAAGGCGACGAUCAGUA
Molecule: ribosomal RNA, 274 nt
Filed under: uncultured bacterium
Lineage: Bacteria
Description: partial small subunit ribosomal RNA
Rfam family: Bacterial small subunit ribosomal RNA
Source: RNAcentral